GGCGGCCUAACACAUGCAAGUCGAGCGGAUGAAGAGAGCUUGCUCUCUGAUUCAGCGGCGGACGGGUGAGUAAUGCCUAGGAAUCUGCCUGAUAGUGGGGGACAACGUUUCGAAAGGAACGCUAAUACCGCAUACGUCCUACGGGAGAAAGCAGGGGACCUUCGGGCCUUGCGCUAUCAGAUGAGCCUAGGUCGGAUUAGCUAGUUGGUGAGGUAACGGCUCACCAAGGCGACGAUCCGUAACUGGUCUGAGAGGAUGAUCAGUCACACUGGAACUGAGACACGGUCCAGACUCCUACGGGAGGCAGCAGUGGGGAAUAUUGGACAAUGGGCGAAAGCCUGAUCCAGCCAUGCCGCGUGUGUGAAGAAGGUCUUCGGAUUGUAAAGCACUUUAAGUUGGGAGGAAGGGCAUUAACCUAAUACGUUAGUGUUUUGACGUUACCGACAGAAUAAGCACCGGCUAACUUCGUGCCAGCAGCCGCGGUAAUACGAAGGGUGCAAGCGUUAAUCGGAAUUACUGGGCGUAAAGCGCGCGUAGGUGGUUUGUUAAGUUGAAUGUGAAAGCCCCGGGCUCAACCUGGGAACUGCAUCCAAAACUGGCAAGCUAGAGUAUGGCAGAGGGUGGUGGAAUUUCCUGUGUAGCGGUGAAAUGCGUAGAUAUAGGAAGGAACACCAGUGGCGAAGGCGACCACCUGGGCUAAUACUGACACUGAGGUGCGAAAGCGUGGGGAGCAAACAGGAUUAGAUACCCUGGGUAGUCCACGCCGUAAACGAUGUCGACUAGCCGUUGGGAUCCUUGAGAUCUUAUGGCGCAGCUAACGCAUUAAGUCACCGCCUGGGAGUACGGCCGCAAGGUUAAACUCAAAUGAGUUGACGGGGCCCGCACAAGCGUGGAGCAUGUGGUUUAUUUCGAGCAACGCGGAAGCCUUACCAGGG
This 935-nucleotide ribosomal RNA is filed under the name Stutzerimonas stutzeri. RNAcentral's name for it is "bacterial SSU rRNA". It matches the Rfam family "Bacterial small subunit ribosomal RNA", at positions 41 to 979 of the family's 1533-position model. The record is from RNAcentral. Lineage: Bacteria; Pseudomonadati; Pseudomonadota; Gammaproteobacteria; Pseudomonadales; Pseudomonadaceae.